GAUGAACGCUGACAGAAUGCUUAACACAUCCGCCAUUGCUUGGUGGCGGACGGGUGAGUAACGCGUAAAGAAAUUGCCUCACAGCUAGGGACAACAUUUGGAAACGAAUGCUAAUACCUAAUCCUGUGAGAGAGCUUUGCGUCCCAUUAGCUAGUUGGAGAGGUAACGGCUCACCAAGGCGAUGAUGGGUAGCCGGCCUGAGAGGGUGAUCGGCCACAAGGGAACUGAGACACGGCCCUUACUGCUACGGGAGGCAGAAGUGCGGCAUAUUGGACAAUGGACCAAAGUCUUAUACAUCAAUUCUGUUUGCACGAUGAAGUUUUCGGAACAUAAAGUUCUUUCAGUUGGGAAGCGGUACCAACAGAAGAAGUGACGGCUAAAUACGUGCCAGCAGCCGCGGUAAUAC
This 406-nucleotide ribosomal RNA is filed under the name uncultured bacterium. RNAcentral describes it as "partial 16S ribosomal RNA". It matches the Rfam family "Bacterial small subunit ribosomal RNA", at positions 28 to 526 of the family's 1533-position model. The record is from RNAcentral.